CCUACGUGUGGCUGCAGUAGGGAAUUUUUCACAAUGGGCGAAAGCCUGAUGGAGCAAUGCCGCGUGAAUGAUGAAGGUCUUAUAGAUUGUAAAAUCUUUCUACUUGGGAAGAAAAACUAAAGUAGGAAAUGACUUUAGUCUGACUGUACAAUUUGAAUAAGUAUCGGCUAACUAUGUGCCAGCAGCCGCGGUAAUAGACAGGAUGCAAGCGUUAUCCGGAUUUACUGGGCGUAAAACGGGCGCAGCCGGGUUAACAAGCUUGGUAUGAAUGGCAUUUGUUUAACGAAAGUUUGUAUCGAAAACUGUUAAUCUGGAGUGUAGUAGAGGGUACUGGAAUUCCAUGUGGAGCGGUGGAAUGCGUAGAUAUAUGGAAGAACACCAGUGGCGAAGGCGAGAACUUGGGCUAUCACUGACGCUGAGGCUCGAAAGUGUGGGGAGCAAAUAGGAUUAGAUACCCUUGUAGUC
Molecule: ribosomal RNA, 465 nt
Filed under: uncultured bacterium
Lineage: Bacteria
Description: partial 16S ribosomal RNA
Rfam family: Bacterial small subunit ribosomal RNA
Source: RNAcentral